Molecule: ribosomal RNA, 310 nt
Filed under: Arthrobacter sp. UBM-15-20
Lineage: Bacteria; Bacillati; Actinomycetota; Actinomycetes; Micrococcales; Micrococcaceae
Description: bacterial SSU rRNA
Rfam family: Bacterial small subunit ribosomal RNA
Source: RNAcentral
ANCGCGNCUANCAUGCAGUCGACGAUGAUCUCCAGCUUGCUGGGGGGAUUAGUGGCGAACGGGUGAGUAACACGUGAGUAACCUGCCCUUGACUCUGGGAUAAGCCUGGGAAACUGGGUCUAAUACUGGAUACGACCUUCCAUCGCAUGGUGGUUGGUGGAAAGCUUUUGUGGUUUUGGAUGGACUCGCGGCCUAUCAGCUUGUUGGUGGGGUAAUGGCCUACCAAGGCGACGACGGGUAGCCGGCCUGAGAGGGUGGACGGCCACACUGGGACUGAGACACGGCCCAGACUCCUACGGGAGGCAGCAGA